UGAAACACGUUGAGAGAAAAAAGCAUUUUGUCUUGUUGAAGAAAGCUCUUGGUUGAUGAGAAAGGGUACAAAAGAAGUGCGGACACAUUCUGGAGUGUUUUUCUGAAUGAGUAUUUACAGUAGGAAAAAACGUUGGCGACGUUAUAGCUGAGAUUUAUGCUUGCAAGUUUAAGCGUAAAUUACAGAGGUUAAAGUUGCGAGACUUUGAUAAAUCUGAGGUGGUACCACGUUAAAACGUCCUCUAG
This 245-nucleotide non-coding RNA is filed under the name Pilibacter termitis. RNAcentral's name for it is "T-box sequence". It matches the Rfam family "T-box leader". Rfam says of the family: Uncharged tRNA acts as the effector for transcription antitermination of genes in the T-box leader family. Lineage: Bacteria; Bacillati; Bacillota; Bacilli; Lactobacillales; Enterococcaceae. The record is from RNAcentral.